AUCACAGACUGUAAGGAGAGCAAGCGUGGGGCGCCAAAAAGGCUUAGAUCUCGUGUUAGUGCCCCGAUUACACGAUGAGUUAUAAGUGUUAGUGUUGUCUCCUCUCCUUUUCCGCAGACACCCGCAUUAUCUACUCCGCCUGGGGAGUACGCCAGCAAGAAAGAACCUCAAAAGAAUUGACGGGGGCCCGCACAAGCGGUGCAGCAUGUGGUUUAAUUGGAAGCAACGCGAAGAACAUUACCAGGUCUUGACAUCCUGUGACAAUUCCAGAGAUAGGACGUCCCCUUCGGGGGCUGAGAGACAGGUGGUGCAUGGUUGUCGUCAGCUCGUGUUGUGAAAUGUUGGGUUAAGUCCCGCAACGAGCGCAACCCUUUUUCUUAGUUGCCAGCAUUCAGGUGGGGAAUUUAAGGGGGACGCCCGUGACAAACCGGAGGAAGGUGGGGGAGGCGUCAAAUUAUUCUUGGCCUUUUGGCCUAGGGUACCCCCGUUGUACAAUGGACAGAACAAAGGGGAAGGAAACCGCGAGGUUAAGCCAAUCCCACAAAUCUGUUCUCAGUUCGGAUCGCAGUUUGCAACUUGGAUGCGUGAAGCUGGAAUCGCUAGUAAUCGCGGAUCAGCAUGCCGCGGUGAAUACGUUCCCGGGCCUUGUACACACCGGCCGUCACACCCCGAGAGUUUGUAACACCCGAAGUCGGUGAGGUAACCUUUUAGGAGCCAGCCGCCGAAGGUGGGACUAGAUGACUUGGGGUGCA
Molecule: ribosomal RNA, 752 nt
Filed under: Bacillus subtilis
Lineage: Bacteria; Bacillati; Bacillota; Bacilli; Caryophanales; Bacillaceae
Description: bacterial SSU rRNA
Rfam family: Bacterial small subunit ribosomal RNA
Source: RNAcentral